Sapajus apella (tufted capuchin) is the source of this 154-nucleotide long non-coding RNA. RefSeq lists it as uncharacterized. The record is from RefSeq and is a predicted model, not a curated record. The transcript is spliced from 3 exons. NCBI's taxonomy places the organism in Eukaryota, Metazoa, Chordata, Mammalia, Primates, Cebidae.
GUUUAAAAAAAAAAAAAAAAAAAAGUGCUAAAAUUUGGAACUCUGAAAUUUUUUUCCUCAAGCUCCAAUUUCACCACUGUGCAUUCCCAUAGUUUCUCUUUCCCUCUAGUUACAAUAAAAGAGGUAUCCCUCAUUCCACAUAUUCAUAUAUAUU